Molecule: non-coding RNA, 114 nt
Organism: Acanthosepion pharaonis
Lineage: Eukaryota; Metazoa; Mollusca; Cephalopoda; Sepiida; Sepiidae
Source: the annotation of a GenBank genome assembly
UUACGACUACAACACGAAUGAAACACUGGUCCCUGUAUGAUCACCGAGGUUAAGCAGCGUCAAGCUUUGUCAGUACCUAGAUGGGUGACCACUUCGGAUUACCAGGUACUGUAA